GUAACUAGCCCAAAAUUUUAUUUUAACGUUAAUUCGAGUUCAAGUUUCAUGAGAAUUCAUUUUAAAAAUUCUCUGCGCUCUGGUUCUUUAACAGGACCGUUAGCAAAUACCUACUUUUAUCGGUCAUCCUACUUCUUACCCAACUGAGCCAUCGGUGUUACGUAAUUAAAAAACAAAGAUAGAACUUUGGAAUUCAAGUUCAACAAAUAUUUACCAAGACGCCAUAGUGACUUACCGAAUGGCAGGUGGUGCAAUCGAAGUAAUAUUACGAACAGGAAACAUCUUUCCUAUUUUUCCAAAUGUUUUUAACGAUACGAACUUGCAACUGAACAGAGAAUCAAAAAUUUCAGAAUUUUGGAACUGAGACACAAGUUUUGAUUAUGUGUAUGUGCUAAGGUCUAUCUCUAAUAAAUAAUAAGUAUAUGAAUAUCAUAUAGCAACAUACUACGCAUUAUCUACCAAAACAAAAUUAGUUCGGCGCCAAGCAAGUGGUAGUAAAGUCAAUCAGUUUUUGCCGGUUGCGUGCUAGGUUGCGUGUUACUUCUUCAUACAUUGUGAUAUAUUGCAAUGGUGCGGAAAUCACGCCUUGCUCAAAAAGAAGUACUAAAUGGAAGAUAAAAACUUGCCUGCUGUAUUACACUCUUUGACCAAGCGUCAAAUAUUUCUCGACUACUUUGUGAUAAGGUCGUAUGUCUAAACAAAAACAAAACUAGUGAGAGAUGAUUUACACACUUAUAGCGGAUUUCUUUAUUCCACUGUGUGCGGGCAAAAUUGACGAGGAAUAAUGAAACGUCAUCGCCAUUUAAGACGCAAGUAAGAGAGAGAUGCCAGAUAAUUGUUUACGAAAUAAGCACGUGCGGUGGUGGGUUGAAGCUUACAAACUUUACAGUGCGCCUCGGGCAGCACGGCAGGUCAAAACUGGGUCGAAAUCGAGCGAAUAAAGAAGGGUUUUGACAGCAGUUAGUGCACUUCCAGGUCAAAACGAGGUGAGCUGGUGUAAUAAAGAAAUUCGCUAUAAGAUUUUAUUGCCGAGUACUCAACAGCUGAUAAAUUCAGCGAAAUGCUCUACAACUUUUCGGCACAAUUUUCAAGAACUUCGGCAAACAAAAUGUCAAUACAUUCUGGUUCGCGGUAGAUCGAUAUAUUUGCUGAAUGUUCGUCGAAAUAUAUUGCUGACAUUUGUUAAAAACUUCGCCGAGCUCGUUCAGCUGUUGGGAAGUUUGCCAAGAUAAAUUAAGUGUGUACGUUUGCGGAGUACAAGGGAUAUAACUCUCACUCGUUUUAUUUACGUUUAGACAUACGACCUUAUCACAAAGUAGUCGAGAUUUGUCACUUUUUAACAGAUAAAUGUUUGGUCAAUGAUAAUUGUUUGUCACUCUCCAAUUUUUUUAAGGGGCAAACACGGGCAAAAAACAAUCAUGGUGUCAAAUAAAUUUGACCAUUGGUCAAAGAUCGAAGAUACGAAAACGUCAAACCUGAUAGAAAAACGUCAAUGUCGGUCGGAUUGUUUUCAUUAUUUUGCUAUUUUGGUUGGGGCAGCCCCUGCACUUUUUAAGUAGACACAGUGGAUCUGGUUAUUAUCCAAUAAAAUGAUGUAAUCUAAGUAAAAAAAUCUCUUUAAAAUUUAUAUAUGAGCUUUCCGUUCGAAAAUAAAAGGAACGACGAGAGUUUUGUAUCAAUAGCAAACCCAGGAAGAAAACAGAAAAAAAGCGAAAACAUUAGAUUUGACGUUUCUAUGUUGUACUCGAUGUUAUAACUCAUAGCACAUUCCCUCGUGUAAUACAGGCUUUAUAUAAUACCCCGUUCACACUACACUGCAUAUCACCGGAUAUCAGGCGAUUCGUGCUAUCGAAGCCAUAUCACCAUCCAUAUUACCUGAUAGCCCAUACAAUCGAGCUGUCAACGGAUAUCACCUCGGCUACAUGCUAUCGCGGAUAUCAUGUUCGAAAACCAACAAUAAUCACAUUUCCAGCAGUUGGCAACACGGCCAACAGACAUUUGACGCAACCCUACAAAUUUCGAACUUCGCGUUGCAUGCGAGAAAAAAGGAAGGAAAUAUUUUUGCUAUUUUCAUCUCGCACAUUUCGACAAUUGCAUACGAGAGUUCGCGUUGGUGCGAGUCAACUCGCUGACAUAUCUAUCCUAAUCCCAUUGUUCUUGUUGUCUUGUUUUAGCUUUGACCUAAUUUUGUUUUCUUCUCUUUUCAAUUACCAAAGCAAAUGUCAAAUCAUAUCAGCUCACUCUAUCCGAACGCUCGAGGUGAUAUCCGAUAUCAUCUGGCGAUAUCAGGCGAUAUCCGGCGUAGUCUGAAUAAGGCAUAAAGCAAAUACCGAACUACUUGAAAACAUUUUCGUUUACCAUUGUUCCGUAAUAAAAUUACAGAGAAAUCGGAAACCGAAUGUGUUUACCGGAAUACCGUAAAAUUGUUUGCCGAAAAGAUCCGUAAAACAGCAAAUUUCCGAGUUCAGUAAACUGAAAUACCGUACCUCGGAAGCUUGACAUCAUUUAACCGAGAUCUCGUUGAAUCAAAAAAGCUCUUACCGAGAUUCCGAAAAAUGGAACUGUCAAAAUAACGAAAGCAUCACUAUCAGUUUUGUUCGUGUUUCGGUUUAGAUGUAAAAGGAACAGGUUUCGCGGUCAAUUAUCAUUCCGAAGAAAUCUGUAAUAUUCAGAUUAACCUAAAAUGUUGAGUUUGACGGUGGUCGUAGAAGGUCUGGCGAUGUUCGCAGCGGCCUGUUAUACAUCGCUUCUGCCGGAGACUUACCGCCAGGGACGUUUCGAUUUGGUGUGGUGCGGUAGGUAAGAAUAGUCAGCCUAUACACCAGAGAAACGCCGAAACA
Long non-coding RNA from Wyeomyia smithii (pitcher-plant mosquito), 2840 nucleotides. RefSeq lists it as uncharacterized. NCBI's taxonomy places the organism in Eukaryota, Metazoa, Arthropoda, Insecta, Diptera, Culicidae. The transcript has 3 exons. The record is from RefSeq and is a predicted model, not a curated record.